UGGGUAGGCUAAUUGUAUUUAUUAUAUUUUUCAAUGUUUGAUUGAUGCUCUUUAUUUAUUUAAAAACCUUCACCUUUCAUCUUAGAAUCAAUACUUUGUAUUGGUUUCAAGGCAGAAGAGCAGUAAGGACUAGGCAAUGGGAAUUAAGUGACUUGUCCAGGGUCACAAAGCUAGGAAGUGUCUGAGGUCAAAUUUGAAUUCAGGACUUCCUGUCUCUAUCUAGACCUGACUCUCAAUCCACUGAGCCAUCUAGCUGUCCCCUAUUUAAACAAAACAAAACAAAACAAAAAUUAUUGACACUUUCCACAGACUGUCGCAUCAUUAAUAUAAAUAUCCUUUAUUUUCUAUCAGUUGCUCUGCUUCCUUUGGGCUACACAAACAUGCCUCUUUCAGGAUGUGCUCAUCACCUGAAGCUUCCUCAUUAUGUAGAUUGACUCAGCUUUGAUAUGCCACACCUGGUCCUUUGCCUCUUCCUCUCUGAUUGGAAGAUUAGAGAACAGACCAAUAAAUUUCUCCCAAAGUCUUUAUAGAAGGCUCAGAAUUUUCCAAGUAACCCUUGAUUUUCUAUUAAGAACUCUGCUUGGCUUUGACUCCAUGAACAUCAUACUCAGGUGCUGUCUACCCUCAAUGUCCCCUCUCUCCUUUAGUUUUCUUUUUAUUAUUGCCUUCCCUCCUUAUUGUAUGAGGCCACUGAGGGCAAGGACUAUCUUUUCCUUAUUUCUAUUCCUAGCAUGGUGCCUGAUAUUAUGCUUAUUGAUGCCUGCCUGACUUUAACCUCCCACCUCAUCCUUUGUGACAAAGUGCAUUUAGACAGAAGUCAGUGUCUUGGUCAUGAUUCACCAUAUGCAUGAAGGACAGUCAUCAAGAAGGGGUCCAGGGAAGAAAAGAAAAGAAGGAACAAGUGGAGAUAGGAACCAUCUUCUGAGCUGGGAGUCAUCUCAGAGUCAUGGAGGCAGCUGGGACUGUGAGAAAACUUCACCAAUGGUUAAAAGACUGAGAAUAACAUUAGGUGAUCUGAGCCCAAGAAGCAAAACUGCUUUCACUAAUAUUUCUCAUUUUCCUGUCCCGAGUUUGUAUAGACUUGCUCUACUGGAUUAAUAAAGGCUUGGAAAAGAUCAAGUUCUAAACUACUCUGGGGGAAAGAAGAAUGAAGUUAGGUUCUUUGGAUUGUAGGCUGGGUUUAUUUUUUUCCAUUUUACAGUUUAAUUCUUUUAUGAAUGAAUCCUUUUAAGUGUAAUGUCCUUGGGAGAUUUGGUUUGCUGGCAGAGAAGUCAAUUGAAUAUAUUGGAGGCAAAUGAGCUAGCGAAAUCUUCUAGUUUUAAAUUAAAGGUUGAUGCAAAAAGAGCAAAAAACACUAUUGAUUACUUUGAAUACUUAAAAAAAUCCCAGCUGUUACCUUUUGUCUUAGAAUCAAUACUUUGUAUUGGUUCCAAGGCAGAGAGUGUUAAGGGCUAGGUAGCACAUCCAAUAGAUAAGAGAUCCAAGCCUAGAGUCAGGAAGACCUAAGUUCAUACCUAACCUUGAAUAUUUACUAGCUUUGUAACACUGGGCAAGUCACUUAGUCUUUGCUCCAGCUUCCUCAUCUGUAAAAUGGGAAUAUUAAUAGUAUCUACCUCCCAAGGUUGUUUUGAGGAUGAAAUGAGAUUAUAAUUGUAAAGACAGCACAAUGUUUGGCACAUGCUGGCUCCCUUCUUUCUCUCUUACCUCUCUUUCCUCUCCUUCUCCCUUCCUUCCCUUCUCUCUCUUUUUUUUCCUCCUCCUUUUCCUUCUCCUCCUUCUGAAACUAUUUAGUGAAUUGACUGAGCAAGCACAUUGGUCUCUUCAGACAAAUCCCAUUUUCUCUCAUUGGAUUAACUUUUUGUAUUUUUGGAAUUUAAUCCUUGAGUACCUCCCAUCCCUCUUGGCCUGACUUUCUGAAGCAUUUUACUUUAUAGGGUUCUACCUAUUUUUCCUUUUAACUCUUUGAAAUCUUUCUUUUCCAUAUUUAAUGUGCAUGUCAAGUACUAUCAUAUUUGCUCUCCUUUAAAAGAAGUUCUAAGUUAGUGUGAUCACUUUUUCUAAGGUGACACAUUUAUGUUGUGACUACAAUCUCCUUCCUGUUAUUGAGAACUAAAUCUUGACUAAAUUUCCUUUGUUGAAUCCAUCAUCUUUUGAAGGAUGCAAUUGUAACUAAAACAAGUUCAGAAAUCAUGACUUUUGGCAGAGAUAGAGUUGUAACAGAUAUUUGGGUAAUUGAAACCACCCAUCAUUAUCUAUCAUACUUCUGUGACAGACUUGCGAUGUUUCCCCAAUUUUUCAACUAUUUCCUCUCUCCCUCUAGGUGGUCUAUAAAUAAUGGUCAUUUAAUUAAAAACAUAAAUUUUCUAUUAAUAAAAUUUGUGGUAAGUCUUCA
RNAcentral lists this long non-coding RNA (2392 nucleotides) under Monodelphis domestica (gray short-tailed opossum). RNAcentral's name for it is "lncRNA (ENSMODG00000043015.1)". Lineage: Eukaryota; Metazoa; Chordata; Mammalia; Didelphimorphia; Didelphidae. The record is from RNAcentral.